GGGCGACUAGCUCAGUUGGUUAGAGCGUCUGCUUGACGUGCAGAAGGUCACAGGUUCGACUCCUGUGUCGCCCACCA
This 77-nucleotide transfer RNA is filed under the name Candidatus Wirthbacteria bacterium CG2_30_54_11. RNAcentral describes it as "tRNA-Val". It matches the Rfam family "tRNA". From Rfam's summary of the family: Transfer RNA (tRNA) molecules are approximately 80 nucleotides in length. Their secondary structure includes four short double-helical elements and three loops (D, anti-codon, and T loops). The record is from RNAcentral. Lineage: Bacteria; Candidatus Wirthbacteria.